CGCAGACAGCUUUCAACAAGCGCUGGGGCUGGCUACCAUGUCACAUCUGGGACUGGCAGAUCUACUUACUAGUGGGACAUGGACCUCAGCUCCGGGAUGAGGGGCAAACGGAAGACGUCUUGCUUAACCAAUUCCACUUCACACGGGGGUUUCAUAGCAGAUGCUCCAACUUUACGUUACCAAUUGACUAGCCUUUAAGAUUGUUUUAGUUUAGAUUUGUUUUUAAUCAUAAAUGUUUUUAUGCACACACUUCGCCACCAUAGAAG
Non-coding RNA from Pelobates cultripes (western spadefoot toad), 266 nucleotides. The record is from the annotation of a GenBank genome assembly. Lineage: Eukaryota; Metazoa; Chordata; Amphibia; Anura; Pelobatidae.